Long non-coding RNA from Haliotis rubra (blacklip abalone), 109 nucleotides. RefSeq lists it as uncharacterized. Lineage: Eukaryota; Metazoa; Mollusca; Gastropoda; Lepetellida; Haliotidae. The transcript is spliced from 3 exons. The record is from RefSeq and is a predicted model, not a curated record.
GUUAGUGGAGAAAUUCAUCUUCGAGGUAACCAUAUAUAUACGUAUAACAUAGUGAGUGCUUCAGGUGAGUCUAAACUUUUAUUUGGUAGUAUAUUAUAUACCAUAUUUU